This is a long non-coding RNA of Esox lucius (northern pike), 5024 nucleotides long. The record is from Ensembl. Lineage: Eukaryota; Metazoa; Chordata; Actinopteri; Esociformes; Esocidae.
CUGGUCAUAUAUACUGAUACUAAUACGUACCAUGAAGACUAUUUAAGAUCUGCAGGGGGAGAUUGGGGCAGCUCCUCCUGGUCACGUGGCUUAAUAUACUUAAUCCCUGCAUUUCAGUUGCACAUACCUUAACCAUUAGCGCUGACCUGGAGACGCUGUGCUCUCACUCCUGCUGAUGGCUAGCCACCAGCCCCAUGACCCAGCCCACUUCGUUCUCCCGAAACCACUUAAAGGUCUGACCCAUGGUUUACACCAAACUGAACCGUGUACUGGCUCUGAACCAGCAUCACCACUCUCAGAGACAACCCGGGCAUGGGCCUCUGCCAAGACAGUGGAAUUUGGGCAGCUAUAUUACCUGGUUCUGGAAGAAACAUGUGAAGCGGGGGACGUCAAUGGCUCGUUUCAAAGUCUAUAUCCAUUGCAGAGACAAAACUGCUGCUGAAGCAUCUCCUAAUCCCGGUAACUAUAUAUUCUGAUCUUGACUUUGAUGUCAUUUGUUUCAGUAAAUGAAAUAUUGCCGCAAUUUAGUCUGAGUAUCUCUCUCUGUCUGUGUGUGUAUGUGUGUGUGAUUUAAAAGCUGUUUAGCUAUCUGAUCUGGAAUUACUGGCUAUCAUCAUGGAACUGGAACAAGGAAUGUUUCUGUUUGUGAGCGAGCUAGUAGAGAAGAAUACUAGUAUCAAAUGAACUGUGACCUAAUCUUUUUGUGUUAGUCUCAUUGUUAGCUAUAACAGGUUACACUUUAAAGUGGUAAAGGUAAGUGGUUAUUUCUAAAAUGCUUAGUAGUUGGGCUUAGAAAUCUUUGUAAAAUGAGUCACUCAUUUUCAUCUGUUUUGCAUGGCAUUUAUUAGCCAUUUCAGUCUUUGGAAUUGUAAUCUGUGCAUCACUUCGCUUCAGGUAAUUUGUUGCUUGAUUACUUGCUCUAUCACAGUGUUCUGUAGCUUAUUAAAUGUAGAUUUGUAUGCAGACAAUAUUCAAUUCUUCUAACACUGAUCUAACUAUGUCAAAGUGCAAUAGUUGUUUUACAGGCUUUUAAUAUAAAGCUUUAUUGUUAUCAGUAAAGUCAACAAUUAGAUUUUUUGUGAUUCUAAUUUCUAUGCAUUAUGUUGCAGUUCCUACUGUGCCAGCCUACCUCUCCCAGCCAGGAGGUGGACCAGUUCUGCCAGAUGCUGGCACUUCGGUAAACACUUUUUUUGUGAGGUGGUAGUAGGUGUAUUCAUUAUCCACUCUUCUGCAUCCGGUAGGUAAUUCUCCCGGAGGGAUGGAAGCUGACCCUCCCAAAAGAGCAGCAUGAGUAUGGCCCGCCGAGCCAUUUUCACAAAGGACAAGCAACUCAAGUGUGUCCUGAAAAGGCAGCUUGAGUUGUUGUACUUUCCUCCUCUGCCUCCCAACAUCAGUCAUCAGCCUCCAGCAUCUCCCAACGCCUACUUCCUCCAUCCCUUUUUUCUCUGGAAGCCCUAUCGCCUGUGGGUUUUUAAGUUUGUGUUCACCCAACCACAGUGCAUGAGCCACAAGCUAACAGGCUGCGGGGUGUAUAGGACUGUCCGGAAGGUAUUGUAUGGAUGGUAUUUCAUGGGGACGGAAUACCUGGAGUGCAGACUUUGCAAAAAGAUGUCGGCAAGUUGGUCUUUGGAUGUCCUCAACCAGUUGGACCCAAGUCAUCGGGCCAAGUUCCCAGCCAUCUUGACUUAUCAGUAAGUAGUUGACACCUCCGACAAUCAAAGAGGUGUGACCCCUUGACUUUGUUGUUCCGAUGGGGGGGGGGGAUUCUGACUGGGGCAGUCUGAGGUGGUGAUGUUUCACAGCCUCAUUGAAAUGCUAAUUAGGCUUUCUUAUCAGCUGCAGGAACUCUGCAGUUGAAAGUUUUUCAAAGUCACCCGGUUCCCACAGACCCCCUACCAACUAUGAUCACACCCCCCGACCAGUUCUCAACCGGUUUCUAUGUCUAUCAGGCUGUCCUGUAAUCUGAAGGUAGUCAAGCUGAUGAGGGAGAGGACACUAGGAAACAGUGUGACCAGGCUGUUCAACCAGCUGAGGGAGCUGCACAGCGGGACCUGGGGGGGGGGGGGUUCUUUCCUCCUGCGCUUUGCGCAAGGGUCCACUUCCUUUGGAGAGUUUCCACCUCCACUUGAACCGCUUCAUUCCUGGUGCAUUCAAUGCGCUGAUACGUUUCUCACAUUGUUUUACUGCCUGUGUGCAUGUGAGGAGUCCUCAUUUCUUGUUGUUUUCAGUGCCAAGCACUUUCAGGCUUACCUCCUUGAAGGGCUCAUAAGGUGGAACGAGGACCGUGCAGAGGCUGCAGCAGGGGGAGUGAAGCAGUCCUUUGCACUGCUAUGACGGCGUAGCACAACACGCCAUCAAUGAGCUGAGCCAGAAGCUCCUUGGUCGUAGUCUCAUAACAGAUUACACAAAACCCUCCAAGUACACUGGCAUGGACACUAUGGAAUUUUGCCUUUCUAGACAAAUGUAGACACUUAAACACACAGCAUGAAUAUCAACAUGCUCACAACUGUUUGUGUGUGACACUCUGUCUUUGUUUGUCUGAAGGGGAACUUAUUGCGGUGGAGUAUUUGUACUCCCAGACUGGCGGGCAGAGGAGGACACUCCAGAUGGGAUGUCAGAUGACACAGAGAAAGGAGAGGGAGAGGACAUCUCGUGGAGUUGGAAGAGUUUGAUGACGACCACCAUUUCCUUAUGUUCUCUGGAUGAGAGUCUACCACCUCUUCCUCUUCUCUGGAAGGCUGCUCCACCGCCCCUGCUAUCUGUCAGGACCUGGAGGAGGACGAGUACAUUGGACCUGAUGGGGGUGUCGGCUAUCAGCAUGUCAUUCUCCUGGCCAAAAGUCUGGUGAGAAUCUUGGAGGGGCCGUGGAUCUCGACUCGGCAUGCCCAAGAGAUAAUUGCCCUCUGGGAGUCUUUUGGAGGCGGACAAGAAGACAGUCUCCUACCCCGAGAGGUUCCGGGCCUAGUCCUGCAGGGGCGAUCUAAAAACUCCAAGACAACAACAGUUAAAGGCUCCCUACUUGGACAAGGACAUGGACCUGCCCUGUGGCCCAAAACUAGUAAGACAGUAGAGGCAAUCUUUUUAGAGCUUUGCCGAAAACACCCUGCUGGCCAGACUGUCCUUGGUGUGAGGGUCAACAGGUGAGCUGCCAUCCUGAGCGACUACAGGAGCAUCAGGACCAUGGUGCUCGGGUCCAGCUGUUUGAGGUCAAUAGGUUGACCUUGACACAAUGGUACGACACUCGGGUUACCUCGAUGGAGAGGGUGACCCUUCACCUGGGCCUGGACAGAAUGACUGCAGACGGAGGAGGAAGACCCCUUCCAUUCUUCGGUCAGGACCGCGGCACCGCUAACUGCACCAUCGACCAGCAGCACAUAUCAACUGUCUGAAGACCAAACAGGGCUGGCUACACGGCAUGGCAGAAUAGAGAUAGAAAAGUCAGCCACCGCAUCCUCCACUGUCCCUGCCUCAGCCUACCACCGCCCUUCCCGUUGCUCCAGACCUGCCCUCAACCAGCAGUGCUCUGCCGCCCCCCAAUGCAAGACCCAAAGUCUCCAGGACCACAGAAUGGAGGGCCAGAAAAAGACUAGAGUCGGGUCAAACAGUGCGUGCACACAAGCCCUACAAAUUCUACAUCUGUAAGAAGUGUGGUCAGCCCAAAACAAAAUAAUUUGGAGACAGUGUGUUCUGGGGACAGUUUUUGUGCCACUACAUCUGGCGGCCAAACUGAGUACCAGUAAACCCUCCUGCCUGACUGUCUGCUGACGGUUGUACAGCAAAUACACCUCCGGGAUGUCUAACGCUAUCUCUAUUUUUUUGUCCUGUAAAUAACAAAAGGAUCAGGGUUCUAAAGGUGACAGCAGGGUGUCUAGGGUGUGAACUACAUGGUCAACCACUCACAACUCUAUUUCUUGUCCAACAAAAGGACCAGCAGAUGAGGGUUCCAGGAAAAAAGAUCCUUCCAGGAAAUUCAGCCGUCCGUGGUAGCCACCUGUUAUUGACAGUCACUGGUUUUUUACUACAUAUAUUUUCAUUUUUCUGUAUUUUACCUGCAGACAAUUUCAUUUCAGAGUAAAAGUUUUAAAAGGAUCUUAGAACUGUCGUUUUUGUUUUCCCUUUGUAGACAAGAAGCUGACACACACCACCUCCAGAACCAGCAAGGGGGCUGUGAAGAGACGGGCCCCAACAAGCAACCCCCCAACUAAGAGAGUCGUCAGUGCUGCCAGACUUGCCAAGGACCUCCUCCCUAACAGGUACACUAAUUUAAGGAGUAGGGAAGAGCAGGCUGAUGACGGACCUGCUAGGAAGACGAAGCAACCAGUGGCUUUCCCUUGCAAAAUCUGUGGAAAACCAAAAAGAAAAUAAUUUGUCCAAAGUCAGUACAAGGAGGAGUACUACUGUGAGGCAGCAGGUGGUGAAAAAACGGCUAAACAGUGACUGGAGAAGACCAGGGCCAAGGGUGUGCUGCCAGGUGCUGUGAAUCUUCGAUGUAAACUCACCUUAAAACAAACGUCCCCCUUUCCGAAAUCAUCCUCUGAACGCCCCCUGAAGGGGGGUACCGCCCCCGUUGAGAAACACUGGUCUGGAUAGUGUUCGAAUUUCGGGAAAAGUAUUGCCGUCUAUUCUGUGUGAUGAAUUGUGUUUAUAUAAAUGUGUUACUGUUAAAAUGCAGGUAAGGCAAUAAAAACACAUAACUGACAAAUGGUUUCAUCAUUCAGUUUGACAUUGUGAUCGACCAGAUAAUAAAUGAUCAGUAGCCGCGGCGAUUGACCAAACGCCCCUGUAGAGGACAGAUUUCUCUAAGAAAAUAUUUCACCAUGUAAUAAUUGCAUUAUGAACACCAAUAGGCUUCUGUAUGAAUUGUUUUGCUAAUUGAUUAGAAGCCUGCUUAACUGCUAUGCUAAAUCCAAUGUAAUAAAUGGACUGUUAGACUAGGCUCAAAUGUAUAUUUUGACUGUUCACAGAUGCCAAGGAUAGGCAAAGACCUAGUGCUAUGGUUGCCAUGAGAGUGUAGCUUAAUCUUA